RNAcentral lists this ribosomal RNA (312 nucleotides) under Triticum aestivum (bread wheat). RNAcentral's name for it is "partial small subunit ribosomal RNA". Lineage: Eukaryota; Viridiplantae; Streptophyta; Magnoliopsida; Poales; Poaceae. The record is from RNAcentral.
AUGAAGGGUAUUUUGGAGGUGACACAACAAGUUUUUGAGCCGAAGUACCUGGGCUUACCUGUACCGGAAGGAAGAGUACAUAAAGGGCAAUUUGAGACCGUGAAGGACAGGCUUAGGAAAAGAUUGGUUGAUUGGAGUGAACAGUACGUGUCAUCGGGAAAUAAGGAAAUCUUGAUUAAGGCGGUGGCACAAGCAAUACCAACCUAUGUGAUGAGUGUCUUCCGUCUGCCGGCAUCCGUGUGUGACGAUUUAACAAGGUUGAUGAGACAGUAUUGGUGGGGAGUGGAGAAUGGCAAGAGGAAGAUGGCCUGA